GGGUUGUGAGGUUAAGCGACUAAGCGUACACGGUGGAUGCCCUGGCAGUCAGAGGCGAUGAAGGACGUGCUAAUCUGCGAUAAGCGUCGGUAAGGUGAUAUGAACCGUUAUAACCGGCGAUUUCCGAAUGGGGAAACCCAGUGUGUUUCGACACACUAUCAUUAACUGAAUCCAUAGGUUAAUGAGGCGAACCGGGGGAACUGAAACAUCUAAGUACCCCGAGGAAAAGAAAUCAACCGAGAUUCCCCCAGUAGCGGCGAGCGAACGGGGAGCAGCCCAGAGCCUGAAUCAGUAUGUGUGUUAGUGGAAGCGUCUGGAAAGGCGCGCGAUACAGGGUGACAGCCCCGUACACAAAAAUGCACAUAUUGUGAGCUCGAUGAGUAGGGCGGGACACGUGGUAUCCUGUCUGAAUAUGGGGGGACCAUCCUCCAAGGCUAAAUACUCCUGACUGACCGAUAGUGAACCAGUACCGUGAGGGAAAGGCGAAAAGAACCCCGGCGAGGGGAGUGAAAAAGAACCUGAAACCGUGUACGUACAAGCAGUGGGAGCACGCUUAGGCGUGUGACUGCGUACCUUUUGUAUAAUGGGUCAGCGACUUAUAUUCUGUAGCAAGGUUAACCGAAUAGGGGAGCCGAAGGGAAACCGAGUCUUAACUGGGCGUUAAGUUGCAGGGUAUAGACCCGAAACCCGGUGAUCUAGCCAUGGGCAGGUUGAAGGUUGGGUAACACUAACUGGAGGACCGAACCGACUAAUGUUGAAAAAUUAGCGGAUGACUUGUGGCUGGGGGUGAAAGGCCAAUCAAACCGGGAGAUAGCUGGUUCUCCCCGAAAGCUAUUUAGGUAGCGCCUCGUGAAUUCAUCUCCGGGGGUAGAGCACUGUUUCGGCAAGGGGGUCAUCCCGACUUACCAACCCGAUGCAAACUGCGAAUACCGGAGAAUGUUAUCACGGGAGACACACGGCGGGUGCUAACGUCCGUCGUGAAGAGGGAAACAACCCAGACCGCCAGCUAAGGUCCCAAAGUCAUGGUUAAGUGGGAAACGAUGUGGGAAGGCCCAGACAGCCAGGAUGUUGGCUUAGAAGCAGCCAUCAUUUAAAGAAAGCGUAAUAGCUCACUGGUCGAGUCGGCCUGCGCGGAAGAUGUAACGGGGCUAAACCAUGCACCGAAGCUGCGGCAGCGACACUAUGUGUUGUUGGGUAGGGGAGCGUUCUGUAAGCCUGUGAAGGUGUGCUGUGAGGCAUGCUGGAGGUAUCAGAAGUGCGAAUGCUGACAUAAGUAACGAUAAAGCGGGUGAAAAGCCCGCUCGCCGGAAGACCAAGGGUUCCUGUCCAACGUUAAUCGGGGCAGGGUGAGUCGACCCCUAAGGCGAGGCCGAAAGGCGUAGUCGAUGGGAAACAGGUUAAUAUUCCUGUACUUGGUGUUACUGCGAAGGGGGGACGGAGAAGGCUAUGUUGGCCGGGCGACGGUUGUCCCGGUUUAAGCGUGUAGGCUGGUUUUCCAGGCAAAUCCGGAAAAUCAAGGCUGAGGCGUGAUGACGAGGCACUACGGUGCUGAAGCAACAAAUGCCCUGCUUCCAGGAAAAGCCUCUAAGCAUCAGGUAACAUCAAAUCGUACCCCAAACCGACACAGGUGGUCAGGUAGAGAAUACCAAGGCGCUUGAGAGAACUCGGGUGAAGGAACUAGGCAAAAUGGUGCCGUAACUUCGGGAGAAGGCACGCUGAUAUGUAGGUGAAGUCCCUCGCGGAUGGAGCUGAAAUCAGUCGAAGAUACCAGCUGGCUGCAACUGUUUAUUAAAAACACAGCACUGUGCAAACACGAAAGUGGACGUAUACGGUGUGACGCCUGCCCGGUGCCGGAAGGUUAAUUGAUGGGGUUAGCCGCAAGGCGAAGCUCUUGAUCGAAGCCCCGGUAAACGGCGGCCGUAACUAUAACGGUCCUAAGGUAGCGAAAUUCCUUGUCGGGUAAGUUCCGACCUGCACGAAUGGCGUAAUGAUGGCCAGGCUGUCUCCACCCGAGACUCAGUGAAAUUGAACUCGCUGUGAAGAUGCAGUGUACCCGCGGCAAGACGGAAAGACCCCGUGAACCUUUACUAUAGCUUGACACUGAACAUUGAGCCUUGAUGUGUAGGAUAGGUGGGAGGCUUAGAAGUGUGGACGCCAGUCUGCAUGGAGCCGACCUUGAAAUACCACCCUUUAAUGUUUGAUGUUCUAACGUUGACCCGUAAUCCGGGUUGCGGACAGUGUCUGGUGGGUAGUUUGACUGGGGCGGUCUCCUCCUAAAGAGUAACGGAGGAGCACGAAGGUUGGCUAAUCCUGGUCGGACAUCAGGAGGUUAGUGCAAUGGCAUAAGCCAGCUUGACUGCGAGCGUGACGGCGCGAGCAGGUGCGAAAGCAGGUCAUAGUGAUCCGGUGGUUCUGAAUGGAAGGGCCAUCGCUCAACGGAUAAAAGGUACUCCGGGGAUAACAGGCUGAUACCGCCCAAGAGUUCAUAUCGACGGCGGUGUUUGGCACCUCGAUGUCGGCUCAUCACAUCCUGGGGCUGAAGUAGGUCCCAAGGGUAUGGCUGUUCGCCAUUUAAAGUGGUACGCGAGCUGGGUUUAGAACGUCGUGAGACAGUUCGGUCCCUAUCUGCCGUGGGCGCUGGAGAACUGAGGGGGGCUGCUCCUAGUACGAGAGGACCGGAGUGGACGCAUCACUGGUGUUCGGGUUGUCAUGCCAAUGGCACUGCCCGGUAGCUAAAUGCGGAAGAGAUAAGUGCUGAAAGCAUCUAAGCACGAAACUUGCCCCGAGAUGAGUUCUCCCUGACUCCUUGAGAGUCCUGAAGGAACGUUGAAGACGACGACGUUGAUAGGCCGGGUGUGUAAGCGCAGCGAUGCGUUGAGCUAACCGGUACUAAUGAACCGUGAGGCUUAACCUUACAACGCCGAAGCUGUU
Molecule: ribosomal RNA, 2931 nt
Filed under: Escherichia coli
Lineage: Bacteria; Pseudomonadati; Pseudomonadota; Gammaproteobacteria; Enterobacterales; Enterobacteriaceae
Description: bacterial LSU rRNA
Rfam family: Bacterial large subunit ribosomal RNA
Source: RNAcentral